This is a long non-coding RNA of Quercus lobata, 235 nucleotides long. RefSeq lists it as uncharacterized. NCBI's taxonomy places the organism in Eukaryota, Viridiplantae, Streptophyta, Magnoliopsida, Fagales, Fagaceae. The record is from RefSeq and is a predicted model, not a curated record. The transcript has 4 exons.
GUUGAUCUGAAUGCAAAGAGAUUUGAUGAAGCCAAGAAAUUUGGUGUCACCGAGUUUGUGAGCCCAAAAGACCAUGACAAGCCUGUUCAUGAGGUGCUUGCUGAAAUGACCAAUGGUGGAGUUGAUCGAAGUAUCGAGUGCACUGGAAGUAUCAAUGCCAUGAUUUCUGCAUUUGAAUGUGUUCAUGAUGGAUGGGGUGUUGCUGUACUUGUUGGUGUCCCAAACAGAGAUGAUG